GAUGAACGCUGGCGGCGUGCCUAAUACAUGCAAGUCGAGCGAACGGACGAGAAGCUUGCUUCUCUGAUGUUAGCGGCGGACGGGUGAGUAACACGUGGAUAACCUACCUAUAAGACUGGGAUAACUUCGGGAAACCGGAGCUAAUACCGGAUAAUAUUUUGAACCGCAUGGUUCAAAAGUGAAAGACGGUCUUGCUGUCACUUAUAGGUGGAUCCGCGCUGCAUUAGCUAGUUGGUAAGGUAACGGCUUACCAAGGCAACGAUGCAUAGCCGACCUGAGAGGGUGAUCGGCCACACUGGAACUGAGACACGGUCCAGACUCCUACGGGAGGCAGCAGUAGGGAAUCUUCCGCAAUGGGCGAAAGCCUGACGGAGCAACGCCGCGUGAGUGAUGAAGGUCUUCGGAUCGUAAAACUCUGUUAUUAGGGAAGAACAUAUGUGUAAGUAACUGUGCACAUCUUGACGGUACCUAAUCAGAAAGCCACGGCCAACUACGUG
RNAcentral lists this ribosomal RNA (497 nucleotides) under uncultured bacterium. Its description in RNAcentral is "partial 16S ribosomal RNA". It matches the Rfam family "Bacterial small subunit ribosomal RNA", at positions 28 to 507 of the family's 1533-position model. The record is from RNAcentral.